RNAcentral lists this long non-coding RNA (395 nucleotides) under Nicotiana benthamiana. RNAcentral describes it as "long non-coding RNA (NBEN_LNC037160)". The record is from RNAcentral. Lineage: Eukaryota; Viridiplantae; Streptophyta; Magnoliopsida; Solanales; Solanaceae.
GUGAUUGUGGCGGAUUAUGUGGUGACCUUGAUAUCCAAAUAAAGCUUGAAAAUAGCGGCGUGUUUUCUGAUCUCUAUGUGGUAAAGGGCACGGAAAUCGGCCAUGAACUAGUGUCUGUUCAUUUGGAUGAACCAGCAGUUAAAUAUAUGGAAGAUAAAAUUGUCCUAACUGUAGCAGAAGCCAUAUCUCUGGAACCUCCUUCGCAUAGUGUCUGUUCAUUUGGAUGAACCAUCAGUUAAAUAUAUGGAAGAUAAAAUUGUCCUAACUGUGGCAGAAGCCAUAUCUCUGGAACCUCCUUCGCCGGUUUGUGUCCUUGUUGGUGCUAUUGUUCAUUAUACUCUUAAAGUUAUCCGUGGGAAUAUUCCACAACUUGUUAUUCUGCCAUCUGCCUUUCA